CUGCUGCCUCCCGUAGGAGUCUGGUCCGUGUCUCAGUACCAGUGUGGGGGACCUUCCUCUCAGAACCCCUACGCAUCGUCGCCUUGGUGGGCCGUUACCCCGCCAACUAGCUAAUGCGACGCAUGACCAUCCGUAGCCGGAAUCGCUUCCUUUAAACCCGAGGAGAUGCCUCCUCGGGUUGUUACGCGGUAUUAGACGGAAUUUCUUCCGCUUAUCCCCCUGCUACGGGCAGGUUUCAUACGUGUUACUCACCCGUGCGCCGGUCGCCGGCCGGAG
This 276-nucleotide ribosomal RNA is filed under the name uncultured bacterium. Its description in RNAcentral is "partial 16S ribosomal RNA". The record is from RNAcentral.